This 459-nucleotide ribosomal RNA is filed under the name uncultured bacterium. RNAcentral's name for it is "partial 16S ribosomal RNA". It matches the Rfam family "Bacterial small subunit ribosomal RNA", at positions 338 to 795 of the family's 1533-position model. The record is from RNAcentral.
CCUACGGGUGGCAGCAGUGAGGAAUAUUGGUCAAUGGCCGAGAGGCUGAACCAGCCAAGUCGCGUGAGGGAAGAAUGUCCUAUGGAUUGUAAACCUCUUUUGUCAGGGAGCAAAGUCACCCACGUGUGGGUGUUGGAGAGUACCUGAAGAAAAAGCAUCGGCUAACUCCGUGCCAGCAGCCGCGGUAAUACGGAGGAUGCGAGCGUUAUCCGGAUUUAUUGGGUUUAAAGGGUGCGUAGGCGGGUUAUAAAGUCAGCGGUAAAAUCGUGGAGCUCAACUCCAUCCAGCCGUUGACACUGAUGAUCUUGAGUGGGCGUGAAGUAUGCGGAAGGCGUGGUGUAGCGGUGAAAUGCGUAGAGAUACGGAGGAACACCAGUGGCGAAGGCGGAUUGCUGGACAGUAACUGACGCUGAGGCGCGAAAGCGUGGGGAGCAAACAGGAUUAGAUACCCCAGUAGUC